GGGGGCGGGUCGGAGUCUGGGGGAGGAUCCGGUGUGGCGGACGCGUGGCAAGGACGAUUGGGGGAUGGACGGUGGAGAUGAAGCGAAGAGGAGAAGAGGUGAUUGGUGGAGUGAGAACGGGUGCAGGGGAGGAGGAAGAGAGGGAAGGCCUGGUUUGUGGUUG
Molecule: long non-coding RNA, 163 nt
Organism: Quercus robur (English oak)
Lineage: Eukaryota; Viridiplantae; Streptophyta; Magnoliopsida; Fagales; Fagaceae
Exons: 2
Source: RefSeq, a predicted model, not a curated record